ACAAUCCUGGGUUAUUCGUUAAGGACACAUAAUUGAACCUACACUUGAGCUUCGGGAGUUCGGGUUUCCGUUACGUUAUGUCAGGCCCCCCUGAGGGGAAGACAGAGGUAUGGAACAGGACACCCACCUAUCGGAAGAUAGGGCGUCAAUUAUAUCCUUGACGGUAAUUUGGGAUUUUU
RNAcentral lists this non-coding RNA (179 nucleotides) under Bacillota bacterium. Its description in RNAcentral is "6S RNA". It matches the Rfam family "6S / SsrS RNA". From Rfam's summary of the family: E. coli 6S RNA was the first non coding RNA to be sequenced, but its function was unknown until recently. The record is from RNAcentral. Lineage: Bacteria; Bacillati; Bacillota. RNAcentral also lists the same sequence under 1 other name.